This 436-nucleotide ribosomal RNA is filed under the name Drymusa sp. CG313. Its description in RNAcentral is "partial 16S ribosomal RNA". It matches the Rfam family "Bacterial large subunit ribosomal RNA", at positions 1828 to 2600 of the family's 2925-position model. The record is from RNAcentral. Lineage: Eukaryota; Metazoa; Arthropoda; Arachnida; Araneae; Drymusidae.
AACUUUUAGAAAUUAUUAAAAGCAACUCCUGCUCAAUGACUUUUAAAUAGCCGCAGAACUAUCUGUGCUAAGGUAGCAUAAUCACUUGCCUUUUAAUUAAAGGAUAGAAUGAAAGGAUUAACGAAUUAAUAACUAUUAUGAAAAUUUAUAAUAAACUUAUUCUAAAUGUUAAAAAACAUUUAUAUAAAAGAAAGACAAAAAGACCCUAUUGAACUUUACUACUAGUUUAGCUGGGACGGCUAAAAAAUUAAAACUUUUUUUAAAUCUUUAUACAGACCCAUUACCAACGCAAAGAACAAGUUACCAUAGGGAUAACAGCACAAUAAAAUUCUAAAGCCCAUAUAAAAAAUUUAGAUUGUGACCUCGAUGUUGAAUAAUAAAUCUCUCUUUAGCAAAAAAAAGAAAAGAAGGUCUGUUCGACCAUUAAAAUAUUACA